Molecule: unclassified non-coding RNA, 202 nt
Filed under: Glomeraceae sp.
Lineage: Eukaryota; Fungi; Glomeromycota; Glomeromycetes; Glomerales; Glomeraceae
Description: partial contains 5.8S ribosomal RNA and internal transcribed spacer 2
Rfam family: 5.8S ribosomal RNA (bases 1-72)
Source: RNAcentral
GUGAAUCAUCAAAUCUUUGAACGCAAAUUGCACUCUCCGGUUUUCCGGGAGAGUAUGCCUGUUUGAGGGUCAGCCUAAAAAAAAUCGACAUUGUUGCUGUUAUUUAAUGGUGACUUUCGUCGGAGAUUGGGUUAUCUUAAACCUUUUUUUUUUUUUUUUUGAUUUAGGGUCCUUAAAUUUUUUUUUUUCAAUUCUUUCAUAG